Non-coding RNA from Phoenix dactylifera (date palm), 3805 nucleotides. The record is from RefSeq and is a predicted model, not a curated record. NCBI's taxonomy places the organism in Eukaryota, Viridiplantae, Streptophyta, Magnoliopsida, Arecales, Arecaceae.
AGCUCGAGGACGACAAAGCACACCUGGUGCCGCCUCCCACUUGUCAGCAGAGUCCUUCCCCCCUGCAAGCAAAUGGCGGUCAUGAUAACAAAACCUGCACCGGUGGCUGCAGCAAGCAAGUUUUCACUUCAAAUAAUUUUCAUCACACAUUUGAGCUGUGAUUCUUCAAAAUAUUACCAGGAGAUAAUCAUUUGUUUUUGGAUGCUUUUGUGUGCAUGUGUGAAGAAAUAAGAAUGUUGUGGAGGCUGCUUCGAAGGGGAGUACUACCAGAGUUGCAUUCAAAACAAAAUCAGAGCUUGAGAUAUUGGAUGACGGAUACAAGUGGAGGAAGUAUGGAAAGAAGAUGGUAAAGAACAGCCCAAAUCCAAGGAAUUAUUAUCGCUGCUCAAGUGCAGGAUGCAAAGUCAAGAAGAGAGUGGAGAGAGAGCGUGAAGACUCAAGCUAUGUGUUAACCACCUAUGAGGGUGUCCAUAAUCACCAUGCUCCCUUACCUGUAACAUCUCGACCUCAAGCACCUGAUACACCUCAAUUCCAUGAUUUCUCUUCAUGAUAAAUAUUUGUAUUUUGUAAUGACAAUCAAGAGAGUGCUUUCACAAACUAAAGUUGGCUGAUGGUCUGUCAAGGUACCAAACAGGGUUGGCGGCACUGUUUUGAACUGAGCGGUUCUAAUCGUACCGAGACAUCCCGGUCCGCAACGGAAACGAAAUCGUCCCGGCAGCGGACCGGGAUGGCUCCGGCAACGGAAACGAAAUCGUCCCGGCAGCGGACCGGGACGGCUCCGGCAACGGAAACGAAAUCCGUCGCCCAAGGAGGAGAAAGAGAAGAAAAGAGAGGACGAGGGAGGAAGAGGGAGAAGAAGGAAGAGAGAGGGAGGUGGAGGCCGGUCGGCGAACUGCACGGAGAAAGCUCCUUCGGGCUCCAUGGUCGGGUCCCCUAUUUCGUUCGAAACAGGAGUCCGGCCCAUUUUUUAUUUUUGUGACUUUUAAGUGAAGUCGGCAAGAAGGGACUCAGUGGCAGAGCCCUCCUCCGCCGCCUCCGUGCCGGCCUCCGCCACCCUCCUCUCUCCCCCCCUUCUCUCUUUUUAUCUCCCGUUCGCCCUCUCUCCCGCCUCCUCUACGGGGCCGGCACGAAACCGUACAGAGCGUACCGUUCCGUGCUGCCGGGCAAUCGGUCCGGGCCCCAGUUCCAGCACUGGUACCAAGAUGUAUAUUUUUACAACUUAACAGAUGUCAUUGCAUAGCAGUCACACAUUGGAUCAUUCUCUCAUUUUUGAUCCACUGCAAGAUAUGUUUAACUUCAAUAAUGAGAAUAAUAGAAAGGGCAGCGCACAGGCCAUGAACUAAGGGAGACAUUAUGCUUUUUCUAGAUAUCAAUUAAAGACAGGUACUGGAGGCUCAUAGCCUACUAAGAUGGUGUACUGCCUACGUACUUCACCAAUCAAAAGAACUGAGAGUUUUCAACUAAAAUGUACAUUUAGGUAUAUGAUAGUCAUUUUUGCAUCAAGUGCUGUUGCUUCAACAUUAUUUUAAAUCCUAGUGUGCACCUCUUCAAAAUGAAGACAGUAUCUGAUAUUUUGGGGAAUGGAUAUUGAAAAACAUGGGGGCACGAGAUUAUGAUUUUUGCAUUGUGGGUUUUCAGGGCUGCGAUGUCUAUUGGAAAUUGACUCGUUGAUUAUAUAAUGCUAUGGAAAUAUUAUUUAGUCAUUUUGGAAGAUACAGAAUCACGCAAACAUGGUGCACAACUAGCCAAAUAUUGCAUGCACAUGAAGACCAGUACACCCAUUCUUGCACCUAGAGAUGACUCAAAAGGAACCAACAAAAUAUUGCAUGCACAUGCAGAUUAGGAAACCCAUUAUUGUGUCAAGACAUAACCCAAAAGAAGUAUGUCAAAACCGUACACAUUACAGCAACCCUGCUCUGUUGAAAGCCUGGAUGUAAUGUAAGUCGCAUGCGCGCGGGCCAGAGAGAGUCAAGGAUGUCGAAAGCUGCUUCCUGAUUUCAGAGUCCACACUCCACACCUAGUAAUGUCCUCAAACCAAAAACUGUAAUCAUGCAAAAGAUUUCGAUGCUAAAUCAUAACAAUAAAUUAAUAUAAUUAUAAGCUGAUUUGCUCUUGUUUUCCUCUUCAACAAUCUCUGCCAAUUAAUCAUUCCAUAUCUGAUAUAUCAACAAGGUUCAUGUAGGACUAUCUUACAGUAGGAGGUGACAAGUAUGCUAGCAUCAAUAGCUGUAUUCCCUUCCAUUGCCAUUUCUAGUUGCCCAUAGAAUCUCGCUUUGUAUGUGAUCAUCUAUCAUCUUGUUGCCAAAUAUAAAUGGAAUGAGCAAAAGGAUACCCUUUCAAUUUCCUUAUGGAGUAGUAGAUCAAUAGCAAUCGCUAGAAGCAGGAUUGAGCUGAACUAAAUGUUUUCUACAAACUGGCCCAAGUAUGACUUCCUGUUUCAGGUCCACAAGCAGCUUUUUUGUUUACCAUUUGAAACCUAAGUGUAACAUCCUCACAAUCGAACAGAGUACCAAACCAUGCAAACAGAGUUCUGUAUGAGUAGUGCUGAUUAAAGGGUAGGAUCUUGGGAAUGGGUCACACAUAAACUUCAAUUAGGAUAAUUCUUAUGUUAAAGAUGAAGCUUUGCAAUAAAAGAACCACAAAGAACUUCAAUGAAAAAGAUAAAAGAAAAAACAAGAUACAUUUUCUUAUCUACUUAUCUCUCUUCCUUUUUUUUCUUCUUUUUUUUUCUCUUUUAUUUUCUUUAAAGAAAGAUUCUAUCAGCAAAAGUCAAUUGAAGGGAAGAAAAAAUAGAAUCAGCAAAAAUUGUAGACCUUUUCCAAGAUGUCAUUCUCAACUCUGGUACAACCCCCCCACCCUCCUUUGCACAUUAUCAUAAACUCCCAAACAGCAUAGAGGUCAUUAAUUCAGAGAUGAUGUGCAUGUGUUUUUUCCUCUCUCUUUUUGAGGGGGAAGGGGAGAGGGGUGUUGUUUCGAUCGACAGGGAGGAAUAAACUGGCAAGGAUCUAAUACACACUGUCCUACCUCCAAAUACUUGAACCUAAAAUCCUACCAAAUGAUCAGAAGCAUCCAAAAUUCUGCUAAGCAAGAUAAUAACAUCCCACAGGGGUUUAGGAGCGACCAAUUUCUACCCAAGUAUAUCUUUAUGUCAAGAUCUAGCAAAAGUAACUAGUUUGCACACUGUAAAUUAACCAAUGCCCAUGUAGCUCAAGCAAGUUAAUAGAUCCAUCCCUUUUAACCAGUAUACAUGGAAUGAGAAGAGGUUCCCCUUUAACUAUAUUCAAAUUCCUUCAUCAAAUAUAGGAUGACUUGGAGAUAGAGCCAUCAGAAUUUACCUUGCAGUCUUGCACCAGCUGACUUCAAGUUUAGGCUUACACAACAGAUCUCGUAUAGCUACCCACUCUGAUAAAAUGGCUGCUGUAAUUAUUAGUAAUUCUCGCAUGAUCAUUGCUUUAUUCGAUUUUAGACCUUCAAGUCUGCAUAGCAGCUUGGAUAUCUAUCAUAGUACUCCUAAUCACUUGUAUGUUAAAGGUUGAUUCCUCAGAAGUUUAGAAACCCUGCCUCUUUAAGGGAUACUACUGAACCCAAUAUACUACUUCGAUCCUAGGCUUUAUACAGAUAAAUUGAAUUGAAUAAAAAUGUUUUUGCUACCAAAUAAAAUAUGUAACGAAUGAAGAAAGGAUUCUUUAUAAAAUAAUUGUCACAAGCCAGUAAGACUCAGGCAACAAUAUUUCCUAUAAAUAACAACAAUGGAUAUGUCAUAGUUAUCUAGGCCUCUGACACAAGGAGAAACAAAGGAAUAUAU